This is a non-coding RNA of Caenorhabditis elegans, 132 nucleotides long. The record is from Ensembl. NCBI's taxonomy places the organism in Eukaryota, Metazoa, Nematoda, Chromadorea, Rhabditida, Rhabditidae.
UAAAAUAAAUACAAAAAGAAGCAAUGGUCAAUGUGAAAAGCAUGUGGAACUGUGAGUGUCUCUGCCAGUUGGUGACACACACACAUUGUGCCCCUCUCGAAAAAUGAGACUUCAACACAAAAAGCGCCCAAA